GUUGGAAUUUUAGAAAUGACAAUGGGUAUAUUUAUUACAUUAACUAAAGCUUAUUUAUUUCUCUUCAUUUCUAUCACAAUAAGAUGGACUUUACCGAGGAUGAGAAUGGAUCAGAGGAAACAGAGGCGAAUGCAGUGCUCGUUGGCAUCAAGACGCUGUCGAGCAUUUUCAGGGGGCGUAUGA
This 183-nucleotide ribosomal RNA is filed under the name Triticum aestivum (bread wheat). RNAcentral's name for it is "partial small subunit ribosomal RNA". The record is from RNAcentral. Lineage: Eukaryota; Viridiplantae; Streptophyta; Magnoliopsida; Poales; Poaceae.